AGAGUUUGAUCCUGGCUCAGAACGAACGCUGGCGGCAGGCCUAACACAUGCAAGUCGAGCGCUCUAGCAAUAGAGAGCGGCGCACGGGUGCGUAACACGUGGGAAUAUGCCCUUCACUACGGAACAACAUCGGGAAACUGAUGCUAAUACCGUAUAAUGACUCCGGUCCAAAGAUUUAUCGGUGAGGGAUUAGCCCGCGUCUGAUUAGCUAGUUGGUGAGGUAAUGGCUCACCAAGGCGACGAUCAGUAGCUGGUCUGAGAGGAUGAUCAGCCACACUGGAACUGAGACACGGUCCAGACUCCUACGGGUGGCAGCAGUGAGGAAUAUUGGACAAUGGGGGAAACCCUGAUCCAGCCAUGCCGCGUGAGUGACGAAGGCCUUCGGGUUGUAAAGCUCUUUUAGAUGUGAAGAUAAUGACGGUAGCAUCAGAAAAAGCCCCGGCUAAAUUCGUGCCAGCAGCCGCGGUAAUACGAAUGGGGCAAGCGUUGUUCGGAAUCACUGGGCUUAAAGCGUAUGCAGGCGGCCAUGCAAGUCAGAAGUGAAAUCCCUGGGCUCAACCCAGGAAUUGCUUUUGAAACUGCAUGGCUAGAAUCCCGGAGAGGUUAACAGAAUUCCGAGUGUAGAGGUGAAAUUCGCAGAUAUUCGGAGGAAUACCAGUGGCGCAAGCGGUUAACUGGACGGGCAUUGACGCUCAGAUACGAAAGCGUGGGUAGCAAACAGGAUUAGAUACCCUGGUAGUCCACGCCAUAAACGAUGUGUGCUAGUUAUCGGGGCCUACGGUCUCGGUGACGCAGCGAAAGCGGUAAGCACACCGCCUGGGGAGUACGGUCGCAAGAUUAAAACUCAAAGGAAUUGACGGGGACCCGCACAAGCGGUGGAGCAUGUUGUUCAAUUCGAAGCAACGCGAAGAACCUUACCUACACUUGACAUGUCCGGACGAUUCCCAGAGAUGGGUCUCUUCCCGCAAGGGACUGGAACACAGGUGCUGCAUGGCUGUCGUCAGCUCGUGUCGUGAGAUGUUUGGUUAAGUCCAGCAACGAGCGCAACCCCUACUGUCUGUUGCCAACGGGUAAUGCCGGGAACUCUGACGGGACUGCCGGUGACAAGCCGGAGGAAGGCGGGGAUGACGUCAAGUCAUCAUGGCCCUUACGUGUAGGGCUACAAACGUGCUACAAUGGCAGUGACAAUGGGCAGCCAGGCCGCAAGGUCGAGCUAAUCCCAAAAAGCUGUCUCAGUUCAGAUUGUCCUCUGCAACUCGAGGGCAUGAAGUUGGAAUCGCUAGUAAUCGGCCAUCAGCAUGGGCCGGUGAAUACGUUCCCGGGUCUUGUACACACCGCCCGUCAAGUCAUGGAAGUUGGUUCUACCCGAAGGCGCCGUGCUAACCGUAAGGAGGCAGGCGACCACGGUAGGGUCAAUGACUGGGACUAAGUCGGAACAAGGUAGCCGUAGGGGAACCUGCGGCUG
This 1465-nucleotide ribosomal RNA is filed under the name metagenome. RNAcentral's name for it is "bacterial SSU rRNA". It matches the Rfam family "Bacterial small subunit ribosomal RNA". The record is from RNAcentral.